GAUGAACGCUGGCGGCGUGCCUAAUACAUGCAAGUCGAGCGAACGGACGAGAAGCUUGCUUCUCUGAUGUUAGCGGCGGACGGGUGAGUAACACGUGGAUAACCUACCUAUAAGACUGGGAUAACUUCGGGAAACCGGAGCUAAUACCGGAUAAUAUUUUGAACCGCAUGGUUCAAAAGUGAAAGACGGUCUUGCUGUCACUUAUAGAUGGAUCCGCGCUGCAUUAGCUAGUUGGUAAGGUAACGGCUUACCAAGGCAACGAUGCAUAGCCGACCUGAGAGGGUGAUCGGCCACACUGGAACUGAGACACGGUCCAGACUCCUACGGGAGGCAUCAGUAGGGAAUCUUCCGCAAAGGGCGAAAGCCUGACGGAGCAACGCCGCGUGAGUGAUGAAGGUCUUCGGAUCGUAAAACUCUGUUAUUAGGGAAGAACAUAUGUGUAAGUAACUGUGCACAUCUUGACGGUACCUAAUCAGAAAGCCACGGCUAACUACGUG
Molecule: ribosomal RNA, 497 nt
Filed under: uncultured bacterium
Lineage: Bacteria
Description: partial 16S ribosomal RNA
Rfam family: Bacterial small subunit ribosomal RNA
Source: RNAcentral